RNAcentral lists this long non-coding RNA (31186 nucleotides) under Vitis vinifera (wine grape). Its description in RNAcentral is "long non-coding RNA (VVIN_LNC002771)". Lineage: Eukaryota; Viridiplantae; Streptophyta; Magnoliopsida; Vitales; Vitaceae. The record is from RNAcentral.
AAUUGUUGAACAUUACAUGGCUUGUUAGUGCUCCAUAUCUUGAGGAACUUACUGUUGGAGAUUGUGAAUCAAUAGAACAAUUGAUAUGUUAUGGAGUAGAGGAAAAAUUGGACAUAUUCUCAAGGCUCAAAUACCUUAAGCUCAACGAGCUGCCAAAAUUGAAGAGCAUCUACCAGUAUUCGCUGCUCUUUUCCUCACUUGAAAUCUUGAAGGUGUAUGAUUGCAAAAGCUUAAGGAGCCUCCCAUUCGAUUCCAAUACUUAACAAUAAUCUAAAGAAAAUUAAAGGAGAGACAAGUUGGUGGAAUCAAUUGGAGUGAAUCGAUGAAACUAUCAAGUAUUCUUUUACUCCAUAUUUCCGAAUCGACCAAGCUGAAGCAUACUUAACUGAGGAGUCCGAAACUGGUGGCAUAGAUGAUAUACAAGAGCAAUUGAUAUCAAAUUAAUUUCUUUCAGGUAUUAAUUAACUUUUAUGCUAUAUUUGAAAAAUAAUUUUUUUCCACACUCCCCAUUCAUUUGUGGAAAUUUUUACUUUACCGAUGUCAAAGUGCAUCAAAGUCUCAACAUCAUAGUAACUUUCAAUGUUUGAUGUAUAUGGACUACUUCCAUAAUUUUCAGCCUAAUCUUAAUAAUUUUGGUGUGGUUAUAAUUUUUUUCUUUUUUAUUUUUCUUUUUCGUCCUUCUAAUCUUAAGCCUUCAUUUUGAUGACAAACAUAAUUAAGAAAGGAAAAAAAAAAUGUAAGAAAUCCAAAUCUAAAUCUAUAUAUAUAUAUAUUUUUAUCUCUAUCUGAUUGGCUCUGAUCAGUUUUUGCCUUUUUUUUUUUUUUCAUUUCUCUUUUUGUUGCAUUCAAGGUUGGGCCUUGUUCUAGCAGUUCUAGCAACAGCCGGGUUUUGAUCGUUUUUAUAUAGACUGUGUUGUUGGAACUCCAUUUUGCUUGUAUCCAAUUAUUAGACAGGAAUCGCAUGUUGAAUCAUAUGAAGAAAUUAUGCCAAACAUUUCUAUAGAAAGGGAACAUACAGAAUCUGAACUAACCUGAUUCCAUUUUGAGUGUUGAAUGAAUAAGGUAUGGAUCUUCUAAGGCUGUGGAGGGCACCACCUCUUUCUGAAUUCUCUCUGACGAUGGAGCAGGAGAGAAAACAAGUCUAUUAUUAUUUCAAGUGAUGUGAUUAGACUGAACAGACACUUAGCCUUUGGUUUUAUACCCUCCUGCCUUAGGGACCAUACCCUUUGGCUAUUGGGCCUCACGAGUCUUAGGCCCAUCAUCUAAGGCCCGUGAUGGCAAUGGGCUGUACACAUAAGGUGACCCAUACUAUGGAAAAUUGAUACAAAAUAAAUAUCAAAAGGCGAAUAGCUUAGUCAUGUAUCAUUGUUAAAUAUGUGUGAGUCCAUAUCUUAACAUGUGUUGUUGUUGUUUUUGCUGAUGGUUGAUGUCCUGCUCUUUUUCCUUCUACUUAGUAUUUGGGUUUGGUCUGAGGUCGAUCUAGGUAUGUUUGAUCAGAGAGGCAUAAAUGCUUAUUCUCGGAGCAUUGAUAUUUCAUGGUGCUGAGACUGCUGGGAAGGUUGGUGUACUUAUGAUGGUUGCAUCAUCCUUUUUGUUUCUGGAUCUCAGGAAUUGGAUUCUGUGGGCUGCCUUUGGCUUUUGAUGUUGGGUGGGUUUUGUUUUGUUAAUUUGUUGAGGCUGGUGCAGUGUGGUGGAUCUGAAGCUGCUAGUAUGCUGCUGCUGGGUCAAUGUCAAUGUGAUAUGGGAAUGCUUUUGGGUCUUUGGGCUUCAGCUGGUUGCUUGUGUUUCCUCUGCUUACAAAUGUUUUAUCACCAGAUCCUAUGUGGAGAUGGGAUGGAUUGUUUUAAUAGUGAUGGUGUGAGGGUGUGAUAUAAUCCUGUCAACAGAGCCACAUGCUUUGGUUCAUAUACCAGAGCACUGCAUACUUGAGUUUGAUAUCAUAUCCCACUCCCAAAGUGUGUCGUGCAUAAUGUAAUGUAAACAAGUUUCAACUUUCAUCCAUUGUGGAUUGAAAUGUUUAAUUUGGGAGAAAAACUGGUUGAUUUGUAACAUUUGAGGGUGUUAAUGGUGAUUUUUCUUAUUAUUAAUUGUGAUUGAAAAGAAAGUUGAUGAACAAGGUGGAAGUAUAAGCAGAGAGUUCUGAGGACUCCUAAUGUGGUACAUUUUCUCAAGCAUAUUUCUUCCCCAAUAAAAAGGAAAACUUGGGUUCACUUGUGCGAUGGUUUUGGCAGUUGGCACUAACUGAUCAAUGAAAGAGAGAUCCAGGUUUAUCACUGAUGAAUUAAAAUGCUUUGUUAUUGUUGCUUAGUUAAAAAAGUUGCGGUUCAGUUUGCUAAUCUAUUGAUAUCUGUUGCAGUGAUUCUGCUGCUGAUGAACAUCAAAGACAAUCAAUAGGUGCAGGUGAUGCCAUCUCAUCUGCUCAAUCAUCUCAAGUAUUACAGCCUGCUCGCUCAGGGGCCAGGGGACGUGCUUCAAUGGCUGAUAUUGUGAGGAGGGGCAGACCAGGGACCAGGAGACAUGUUUCAAUGGCUGAUGUUGUAGGGAUGGGCGGACCUGGUGCCAAUACUUCCAGCCUGCCAAUUACGUCAACUGGAACUUCUCCCCCUCUUGUUGGGGCAGUACCAGAACAAUGUGGUGUGCCCAAUACUUCCAGCCCGCUAAUUACAUUAGAUGAAACUUGUUUCCCACCUCUUGGAAGAACACCAAAACGAUCCUCUUACCGUGUCACUACUCCCUUUGUUCUGCCACCAGUGGAGGCAGAACCACACCAAGAUUUGCAUUCUCCAAAUCCUUGGUAUGUGUUGGAGAUAAGUCAUGACUCAUGAGCCUUGCAUUACUGAUGAAUGGCCCACCACUGAUUAGCCAACAGCACAUAAUGGCUUUUUUAGGUGGCUCACCUGCCUUAGAAACAGAGAUAUUCUAACCCAUCUAACUUGUACAGUGAUACAGCUGAAAUGUCCCAGGACUGCCGGCCAGAUGAGGUCCAAGCAUCUGUAUCCAGUGAACAGUGGGCAGAGUAUAGCGCUGCAGGUGCGUCUUAUAGAGCUUGCCAACGAGACUGUAGUACAGGUUUAAAAAAGGUCAGGCGGUCUAGAAAGUUAAAAUGAAGGCGACCAUAGGUUAUGUCAAUACACAAGACCAUACAAACGGCCAUUGUUUCUAUAUUUUGUUAUUUGUUUUUAAUGUGAUUGGUUCCCUAGAAAAUCUGAUGUGACCCUGGUUCAUGAUGCCCAAAAUGGAAAUCAUGCGAGUCCAUGUGGAUGGGUCUAUAUUUAUCACUCUUUUGAAAAUUCAUCACCCAUCAAAAUGAUCAAAUUUCAUAAUCUAAGCUUGAAAAUACAUCUUAUCAUUUGCCUUCUCACUCUCAAAAAUUCAAAAUAAAAAAUUCCACAUAAUCAAUACAUUUUGGAUUUUAAUUAUUUUAAUCCAUUCUAUCUUCAUUAUCUAAGUCCAACUUCUACUGUCAGUAAAAGUAAAACUUCAUUUCAGGAAGAGAGAAAUUGAUAAGUUUUAACAAAUAAGUUUAAAUACAUUUUUUAUUUUUAUUUAAUUUAAAAUUUUAUAUAACAUACCAAAAUUUUAAAAUGUUUAUAUUAAAAAUAUAAUGACUUAAAAUUAUUUAAAAAAUGAGAUAUCAAAAAAAUUAUUAUCUUAAAUUUAAAAAAUUAAUGUAAUUUUUUUAUAAAAAAAAAAACAUAAUAUAAAAAAUAUAUAUUGGAGGAGCAGAAUAAUUGAGAGAGAAGCAACAAAACGUUAAGUACAAAGUGGGGAAAUGCAACUAAUGAAGUGGGUCCAAAAGGUUGAAAGAUAAGAGGAUACCUUAACAAUGUCAUUUGGGCAACAUUAAGUUAAUUGAUCCUAAUCAAUGCAAAAUACCAUGAAUCUAAAGUUCACAUCAUAGCAACAUAGAGAGGGAGUUCAAUUUCAAUACAAAAUACAAAAAGUGUAAAACUAGAUAUUAAUAUUAAGACAUCAUACUAAUUAAAUAAGUUUCAUUUUUGUCAAAAAAAUAUAUAUAUAUCUAGUUCCCAAAAAUAUCAAGGAAAAAAAUAUAAAAAAUAUUUUUCUUCAUAUUUGGUUUUACUAUGAUAAAUUCGAGAUAAAAUCAAAUAUAAUUGAAAUUUUAAAUAUUUUAAAUUAUUUAAUCUUUAUAUAAAAAUAAAGUUAAAAUAAGUGAAAUGACUUCAAAAUAAUAUAUAAAAAAUAAAAUUAAUUUAUUAGUUUUAAUCCUAUUUUUUAUUUUCAUUGGUUUUUUGUCUUUGGAUUUUUUUCUUCUUCAUUUUCUUUUUCUCAUAUUUUUCCUCAAUCAAACAUACCAAAAAAAAAAAAUUGUUUUAACUUUCAUUAAAAUUCAAAGUCUUAAUAAUACUUUCACAUUUUUUUUUAUUCAAAUUAGAAGAAAAUACAAAUAUUUGGAAUGCCUUUGAAAUAGUUUCCUAUUUUUCACUUUAACUAAAAGUUAAAAUUGAAUCAAAAUCAUAAUUUUUAAAAGAUAAUAUUGGUAUUAAAUAUAUGAAAGAGUUCUUAGCAUAAAUCAAAAUAAAGUUUUUACAAGGAACAACAAUUUUUUUAAUUUCUAUAUUAAAUUUCUUGUUAAGUGGUCAUAAGUUUUUUAAACGAAAAUAGUAAAAAAAAAAAAAAACAUAUGAUUGAUACCAAGAUAAAUUAUGAAUCCUUUAAAGUGAUCCACUACACUUUUUUGGGGUGGAAAUUCAGUCAUUAAUACAUGUACUUGAUCUGGGGGUGCCCUACAAUUCAAGUCAAUGAAUUUGGACAAAUCAAAUCAAUUUUUUUCCCAAUUGAUACCAAGGAAUAUCCAUAUGAUUCAAACAAUAUUUAUAUUGUUUGUUUGGAUUUUGCCUAAAGUAUUCAUGAAUGUGUCCAAAUAAUAUGCUUAUCAAUGGCACUACUAAUUUUUGCUUCCCUUUUUUUUUUUUUUUUUUUUUCAUUUUUUGUUUGUUUUGAAUUGGUACUUCCUUUCUCAUUCAUUCUACAUUCUUUUUUUUAAAAACAUUUGUCUCUUUUGCAUACAUCCUAAAAAGCCCAAAGUGUCUUUAUUAUUAUUAUUAUUAUUUUUAAAAAAAGAACUUAAUAAAAUCUUUUGCUUCAAUUUAUCUUAAAAUGAAAAUAAAAAAUAAAAUUUUAUUAUUAAAGUUUUAUUUUGAUUUAUAGAUAAAGCUAUUUCAUAUUUUAUAAAUCUCUUCCUAUAUUCAUUUUGUUCUUUGCAAAUUAUAAUUUCACUCACUUCAACUUUGAAAAAAAAAAAAAUUAUAGCAAAUUAUGUUUUAAUCCGCUUUCCAAUUGGAAAAUACUAAUAAUGCAACCCAUAUCUGUCUAAACUUAGUGCAUAUAAUAUUACUUUUCAAUGGACUUGAAAAAUAUUUAAAAACCAACAACUCCAAAGUCAAUUAUCUCAAUUAUGGAGUGUAAUGGUUUCCAAAAGAUUAAAGCAAGUGUGAAGAUCCCUAUAAUGUUUUUGAGUGUAAUGGUGUUUCCAAAAGAUAUAAGUAAGGAUGAAAAUAUCGGUAAUCAUGAAUAUAUCGGUAUUUUGAUUUUACGGAUAUAUCGGUGGGUAUUUUGACAUAAAAUAUCAGUAGACCUAAAAUUGACUAAAACUUAUAAAAAUAUAAAAUAAAACUUUUAGAAAUGAAAUUAAAAGUACAAUAGACAUUUUAAAAUUAUUUUUGUUGAAUAAAUUAAUGUAUAUAUAUAAAAUAAAACUUUUAGAAAUGAAAUUAAAAGUAUAAUAGACAUUUUACAGUUAUUUUGUUGAAUAAAUUAAUAUAUAUAAAAUAUUGUACGUGUCAAUAAAAAAUAUAAAUUUGAUAAGUAUAUAUUGAUUAUUAAAUUAUAUCAAAUAUUAUUUGGUGAUUAUAUUGUGAUAUUUGAUUAUAAUAUAUUUCGGUGGAUAUUUUGACACAAAAUAUAUGUAGACUUAAACUUGAUCAAAACUUAUAAAAAUAUAAAAUAAAACUCUUAGAAAUGAAAUUAAAAGCAUAAUAGACAUUUAAAUUUUUUUUUAAAUAUAUAUAUAUAUAUAUAUAUAUAUAUAAUAUUGUACAUGUUAAUAAAAAAAAUAUAAAUUUGAUAAAUGUACAUUGAUUUUUAAAUUAUAUAAAAUAAUAUUUGAUGAUAAUAUUGUGAUAUGUAAUUAUAAUAUGUUUAAUUUUAAAAUCUAUUUAAUAUUAAAAUUAUGAUAUAUUAUAAAAUAAAUGUAUAAAAUUUUAAUAUAUUAAUAAUAUUAAAAACACCAUGAAUAAAAUUAUGAUAUAUUUUUACUAAUCAAUUAAAUGAAAAAAUUUCAUUAAAUUAUAAAAUAGUUAUAAUUAAUUUGUUAUUUAAAGUGUUUUUUUUUAAUAUUUUAUUUAUAUCAUAACUUUUGAUAUAUAUUUCUUUAGUGCAUAUUACAUAUCAAAGGGCAAGUUUGCCUUAGUGGAGCCGGGGAUGCAUGUUGAACCUUCGAAUCUCCCUAAUAGCAACAAAAAAAAGCUCAAUUUUGAGCUUUGAUUGCGUUGAGCAGCCGUUGACCACCGAUAUAUCCAUGCUAUAUAUCGUUUCGCCACCCGCCGACACACCGAUAUUUCAACAAUAUUUUCUUCCCUGGAUAUGAGCAAGUAUGAUUUUCCUUAAAAUGUUUUUCACAAUUUUUUUAUAUGAUUAUUUAAGUUGCCUACCAAUAAAUCUUUUUCUAAUUUUUGUAUGAAUUGAAUAUUAUUAUUUUUUUUUAAAAAUAAGAAGUAUGUUUAAUAAUUAAUUUUUCUAAGUAAUAAUAAUGACCAACAACCUUUUAGACCUAGUUUUUCAAUCAACUUAUUUAUUUCAUAGGUAUAAAAUAUGGAGAAGUAAAAUAUAUGUAUUGAUGGAUCAAUUAAAGGGAGGGUUAAACCUACUAAGACACUACCCACCUCACUGGAGAAUGGAAAAUUGAACGGUUAUAAAUACAUCAUCAUUUCCCAUUUUUCACAAAAAUGUUGCUCCAUGUCCUCUUAUCAAUUUCACUUCAAUUAUCCUCAAAAAAAUCACUUCACAACUUCAAAGAUUUGUUAGCAAAAUUGAAAAAGUACUAACAUGUCACUUGAGUAAAAAAAGACAUGAUUCCUAUGCAAAAAAUGAAACAUAUGUGUGGACCCCGUAUUUCGACUCAUGCGUUCCCCACUCGGUGGCGAAACUCACUUUUAAUUUUAUUCAGUGAAAAUUUGAUUUUUGGGGAAAAGACUUGGAGUCGCCAUUUUGUGGACCCUGCAUUUCAACUCAUGCGUUCCCCACUCAAUGGCGAAACUCACUUUUAAUUUUAUUCGGUGAAAAUUUGAUUUUUGGGGAAAAGACUUGAAGUCGCCACUUACUUUUGUUUUAUUUUUAAAAGGGUAAACAAAAUAAGAAAGAAAACCCUGAGUGUGACUCCUCAUUUUGGAAAAGAUGGUCUGCGAAAAACCGGAUCGGGCUCGAGGGUCAGAUUACUUAUUGGGAAGGUAUGGUAAAGACUGUAGCACGCCUCUAAGUCCCUAAAGUUGGGGUCUCUACUAAUAGAAUGAAGCCGACAUGGCAAUCAAUAAGAAAGUCAAUGGAUACCUAAGUCAAAUCAUGCACAUAUGGGAAUCGGAACAUGCAUAGAGAAUGAUCCGAAUGAAAGUGUAUGCGUACCUGGGUCACGAGCCACAAUGCAUUGUAUUUGCUCCUCUCAGUGCGAUUUUCUCCGUGCGUUUUUCCCUAUCCCCUCACUAGCUCCCUCUGGUAUCCUUUUCCCUCUUUUUUUUUAGCUUGCUCUCUAAGCUAACGAAAACCUCACUCUGUCACCUUUCACUCAGCCGUCCUCCCUAUUCCAUCUUGUCACCCCAUGCCCUCUUUGGUAGAGUUCACGAGUGCAAUGAACAUGAACACUGAAGUGAAAAGAGAGUGUGAAUAGUGAGUGAAAUGAAGUGAACUCUACCGAAGAACCCAGGAGACCCCCACAACGACACUAGUGAAACACGAACUCAUUAAAACUAACAGACAAACACGAAGGCUCUAACCCUGAGAGAAGAUGAUGUUCAAAAUGUCUCGGAAGCCACACUGAGGACCUAGGCUCCCUCUAAGACGCCUCCAAAAGAGGCUUGAAGAACCAUAUCAAAGAUGAGUAAUGGUUGAACCACUCUGAAGUAUAGAAAAGACUAUGCCCAAAGGAGACUGCCAUAUGCGAACUACAUAAAAAUGACAAGUGUAUGGUGCCUAACGACAUGACUGAAGUAGGUGUCGUGAACUCAAAGGACUGUGUCAUGAGCAAUGAAAAAGGGAAUCUGGAAGAGUGAUGGCAAGUAGGCGAUAAGCACACGAUAACAAGGUAAGAAAAAUGAGAACAUAUGCAAACCCAUGAAGGCAAGAUGUGUAAUGCCAAUGAACAUGAAUGCCAGGGACUCUGACUCUGAAUGAUAUAACUGAGGAGAAAUGACUCUGCAUAUCAAAACAAAGAGAGAUGGUGACUCAUGGUGCAUGAAUGAAUAUGUACAAUGGCUCUGAACACCAAAAUUGAGAAGCGAUGAUGGCUUUGAAUGCCAAAACUGAGAAUGAUGAUGGCUCUGAACGCCAAAACUGAAAAUGGUGAUGGCUCUGAACGCUAAAGCUGAUAAGCGAUGAUGGCUUUGAACGCCAAAACUGAGAAUGAUGAUGGCUCUGAAUUCCAAAACUAAAAAUGGUGAUGGCUGUGAACGUUAAAAUUGAAAAUGGUGAUGGCUUUGAACGCCAAAACUAAGAAUGAUGAUGACUUUGAACGCCAAAGCUGAGAAGCGAUGAUGGCUUUGAACGCCAAAAUUGAGAAUGAUGAAGGCUCUGAAAGCCAAAACUGAAAAUGGUGAUGGCUGUGAACGCCAAAACUGAAAAUGGUGAUGGCUUUGAAAGCCAAAACUGAGAAUGAUGAUGGCUCUGAACGCCAAAGCUGAGAAGCGAUGAUGGCUUUGAACGUCAAACUGAGAAAUGUCGAUGGCUCUGAAUGUUGAAACUAAGAGAUGAUAAUGGCUCUGAAUGCCGAGAUUAAGAAACAAUGAUGGCUCCGAACGCCAAACUGAAGAUGUUGAUGGCUCUGAACGCCAAGACUGAGAAGAAAUAGGGGCUCUGAACGCCAAAUGGAAAAUGCUGAUGGCUCUGAGCGCCGAGACUGAGAAGAAAUAGUGGCUUUGAAAGCCAAAUGGAAAAUACUGAUGGCUCUGAACACCGAACUGAAAAGAAAUGAUGGCUCUGAACGCCAAAUGGAAAAUGUUGAUGGCUCUGAAUGCCAAGACUAAGAAGAAAUAGUGGCUCUGAAAACCAAAUGGAAAAUAUUGAUGGCUCUGAAUGUCGAACUGAGAAGAAACAAUGACUUUGAACGCCAAAUGGAAAAUGCCGAUGGCUCUGAACGCCGAGACUGAGAAGAAAUAGUGGCUUUGAAUGCCAAAUGGAAAAUCCUGAUGGCUCUAAACGCCGAGACUAAGAAGAAAUAGUGGUUCUGAACGCCAAAUGGAAAAUGUUGAUGGCUCUGAAUGCCAAGACUAAGAAUGAACAAUGGCUUUGAACGCCAAAAUGAAAACGUGGCUUCGAACGCCAAAUGGGAACAAUAGCUACUAAUGCUAAGCGAAAAUAGUGGCUUAGAAUGCUAAACUAAACUGAAUAACCAUAAGCGUCAAACUGAGAAAGACGACGCUGACCAUCGUAACUAAGAAGACAUAGUGGCUCUAAAUGCCGAACUGCAAGGGAAUGAUGGGGGGAAAAUAUGCCCCAGUGUAGCGGGUCACCAAAAACCCUCAAUCCAUCAGAAAAGUCGGAAAGAGACUCCGUAAGUCUCGAAAAAAUGCUUGGCCAAUGUGUCGGGGUGAUAAAAUCGAAUGAUCCUUUAAGGAGCCUUCAGAAAAAUGAUCUGAUAGGGUAACUAACGCGAUCUGAAGAAUCACGGAUAGCAAGACAAUCACAACCCGAACGUCCUACUCUACUGAAAGCUCAUCUCGAAGAAUCACGGAUAGUGACUAGUAAAGCAGAUAUAAUAUCUCUUGGCCAAGUGAUGAGAACCGCAACAAACUUGUGAGAGAACGAUCAUCUCCAUAUCCAAAUGAGGGAAAUAUGCCCACGUAUGGCGUCAAAUGUAUCCGAUCUGUCCUGAUGACUCAUGAGUAACUCAAUGGGGACGCGUCGCAGAUCUGACAUGUGCUCCAACGAAAUGAUGAAGUGAGAGUCCAUGAGCCUGAGAUGACUCCAUCCAAAAAUCACAAUGACAUCGGAAACUAUAAACAUGAUGAAACGACUCAAGGGAAGGUCCUUCGAAGAGUCAUGACAAAAUGAAACAAGAUCAUCAACCCGAUGUGUAUCUCGUAACUAGGGAUAAUGACGCAAACCAGAAGGGAUCUACGAAUCUCAAUCAAAGACGGAAAUAUGCCCCAGUAUGGCAUCAAAUGUGUGACAAGUAGGGAAAAUCAAAUGACAUCGAAUCAAGCAUCAACAGAUAUGUAAUCUUGGUCAUUUGAAUCCAUAACUGAAUCAUACCCACUGAUCAAAGAUGUGUCUUUCGGAAGGAAGCAUGAUGAUGGCAUCUGAGUGCUGAGAAAUGCGUGCCUAACUGGAUGGCUCCCAAGAGGCUCCACUAAGAAAUCAUCGUAAAAAUAGUGAUCGGACGAUCAUCUCGAUGAGUAUCCCGUUAGUGGGAAUGAUCACAUAACUCCACGAAGAUCAGUAAACCUCAUCCGAAAUGGAAAUAUGCCCCAGUAUGACAUCAAAUGUACAAUAGGUCGAAAUCGGGUGACAUGAAAUCAUCCAUCAUCAAAUAUGCGAUCUCCAUAAUCCAAAUCAAAUCCAAACAUCUAGGGAACGUCUCUCGAAAUAAAAAGCAUGAAAACAACCCGAUACCGAGAAAUGUGGACCUAGAUGAAUGGCUCCACUGGGGCUCCACUAAAGAAUCAUCAUAAAAAUAACGACAACGUCAUCAUCUCAACGCAUAUCCCGCAAGUGGGGAUAAACACGCAACUUCGUGAAGAUCGGCAAAUCUCAUCUAGAACGGAAAUAUGCCCUAGUAUGGCAUCAGAUGUAUAGUAGGUCUGGCUGAAUGGCCCUAAAGAGGCUCAACUGAAGGAUUGUCAUAAAAUAAUGACCACGCCAUCAUCUCAGCGCAUAUAUCGUGAAUGGGGAUAAGCAUGCAAACUCGUGAGGAUCUGUAAAAUCAUAUCUGAAACGGAAAUAUGCCCCAGUAUGGCAUCGAAUGUGUGACAAAUCAGAAAAGGUUAGGUGUCGUCAAAUCAUCCCUCGUCAAAUGAGUGAUCCCGGUAAUCCAAACACAACCGAAACAAAUCUAAACAUCAGAAAGGUGUCUCCCAGAAGAAGAAGCAUGACAGUAUCUAAAUGGCAACUAGAGCCCAAACACCUGUCCAAGUAGAGGCUGUCGAAGACGACAUCUGAUCCCAUGGCCUCAGGGUGGUCUUAAGACACGGGACGUAACGUAGGCUAGGGUGAUAAGGUAAUAGAAAUGAAAGGAAACGAGACCUAAAUACCCAAUGAUCAAAACUCAUGCCCUCAAGUAUAAAAUGCAAUAUGUGUGGAAAAGCUCGUGAGCCAUGAACCUGAAUGUGCCCAAUGUGAAUGUGAUAUCAAUAACAAGGUGGUGAAGAAAAAUGAUCUGAUAGAUGGAUGUGUAAGAACGAUGCACGUGAAGUGUCAAACUGAGAAUAAAAAGGCGUGGUAAGAAAAAUAAAAUGGCAAGAGGUGAGAUGAGGAUGAUGAAUCAAAAGCGAAAACAAGAAUGAUGAUGAAAUACGUAAUACAAAGGGGAGCAGUGAUCAACUCAAAUCAGACAUGGAGUGAACUCACAUCAACAAUGAAUGUAAUGAUGGAUAGGACAAUGACCCGGAGUCCCUAGGAGAAGGCCACUCAUCUCGCUCUCAAAACAUACGACAAAAAUGAAUACAAAGAAUGAAAGGUCUUGAGAAGCUCACAUACGAACUCUCAUCAAUAAACAUACUCGAUACAAUGACCUUUGAACAUCAACAUACACGCCCAACGAUGGAGAAUACUAUGCACAUACACAUGCAUGCUUAUUUUUUCUUUCUUUUCAUUUUUUUUUUUUUUACAUAUAUACAAAGGCACAUACCUUGAACAUAGACAAAUGAACCCCAAAGAUGAUAGCAAUAAUGAAUAGACACGCUCCCAAGUGCUAAGGUAACAAAAAUCUCUCUCUGAUAAGAUGACCUUCUCAAACUAAGGAUCUCUAACUCAAUGUCCGCAUGAUAAAUAGUGGAAAUGAUGUGACUAUCCCCCAUGUAAUGAAUUGAGGAGGAUCACCACUCGGGGUGGAGAGAAUAUGAAGCAAAACAAGUAAAUAGAAUAAAGAAUGAGAGAUGAAAAACACAACUAAUGAGAUAUGAAGGAAUGCAGUAGCGCGGUGGUAGGAAAAAAAAUAAUGAGAGAAAGAUGCACCUGUAGGUCCAAGACUCAUGAGGCUUCCAAACAAUGCAUGCAUACACUAAAUGGCCCCAAUCCCGGUGUAAAAAUGUGAGGAAGGCGAUAAGAUAGAAAUGCUAGAAUGCAUACGCGAGGCUCAAUGGGCUAGCAACGGUUCAUAUGUCAAAAAAGGAAUAACAAGGUAUAUAGCUAACCGAAAUGAUGGCCACCCAUUCUGCGACCAUGGUCUCAAACAUAGUACCUCUUUAGCUGGUCCACGUUGGUAGGCUCCGAGAAUCGGUUUCCAUCUAGAUCCAUCAACCAUGCAGCGCCCUCUGGGGUCAACUCCCUGAUGAAGUAAGGUCGGCUCCAAUUGGGUCUGAACUUCCCUCUAGGAUCUCUGAUCAAUCCUCUGAUGACCUUCAGAACCAAGUCGCCUGUCCAUAGUGGUCUGGGCUUAACCCGCUUUUUGAAAGCGCGGACCAUCUUUCUUUGAUAUGCAUGAACAUGAUCGGCUGCCCUUAAUCUCCUCUCAUCUAAGAGAUUGAGUUGAUCAAAUCGAGCCUGAACCCAAUCUGCCUCAGGAAUCUGCUGCUCCAAUGCUACUCUCAAUGAACCCAUCUCAAUCUCAACUGGUAGCACUACCUCCAUACCAUACACUAAUGAAUAGGGUGUGACCCCUAUAGAGGUGCGAAAAGAAGUCUGAUAAGCCAACAAUGUGAAAGGGAGCUUCUCUGACCAAUCUUGAGAAGUCUCAACCAUCUUUCGCAAGAUCCUCUUAAUAUUCUUAUUCGCGGCCUCUACUGCCCCAUUCGUCUGCGGCCUGUACGCAAACGACCUACGAUGUCAGAUGCCAUAUCUCUAUACUAAGGUGUCAACCUCUGCUCUGAAAUGUACUCCUCUAUCCGAAAUCAGCUCAUGAGGGACUCCGUAACGACAAAUAAUAUGUGAUCUAAUGAAACUGGUGACUUCGGCUGAUGUCAAUCUCGCAUAUGAAGCGGCAUCCACCCACUUGGUGAAGUAAUCGAUGGCGACCAAGAUGAACUCAUGACCACUAGAAGAUUUCGGUGAAGUCUUCCCGAUGAUGUCGAUACCCCAUACUGAAAAUGGUCAUGGUGACGUCAAUGCAUGUAACUCCGAGGGUGGCACGUGAAUAAGAUCUCCGUGUAUCUGACACUCUGGACAUCUCUGAACGAACUGGCAACAAUCCGUCUCCAUAGUCAACUAGAAGUAGCUAGUCCUCAUGAUCUUACGAGCCAACAUAUGUCCUCCCAUAUGUGGUCCGCAGACUCUCGUAUGAACCUCCCUCAUCACUCGAUCGGUCGAGGCGCGGUCUAAACACAAUAAUAGUAUCCCAUCAGGUGAUCGUCGGUACAAUGUCUCACCACAAAUCAUGAAUCGAGCUGCCAACUAUCUCAACGCUCUCUUAUCCUUGGUCGUGACGGCCUUAGGAUAUACACCAAGUGUCAGAAAGUGAUAUAUAUCGUGGUACCAUGGCAAACCAUCAUUUGGCUCUGUAUCAUCAAUCAAACAACAAUAGGUGGGAUUAGAUCUCGACUAAAUCAUCAAAGGGUGAACAAUGGCAUUGACAGGAAUAUCGAUCAUGGAAGCUAGAGCAGUUAAGGCAUCAGCAAACUAGUUCUGCGCUCUAGGCAGAUGUGUGUAUCUCAAAUCAUCAAAUCUCCCGACCAAUAGCUCCAAAUAUGCGUGGUAAGGCCCAAGCUUCACAUCUCUAGUCUUCCACUCGCCCUGAAUCUGUCUCAAUACCAAAUUGGAGUCACCAAACACCUCCAUUUACUAUAUCUCCAACCUUAGCGAAUGUCCCGUGCUCGUCGAUCUCAUCUGGGAAAUAGAGCGUCAUAAGGCUCAUGCGAUCGGGGGAUGAAGGGGCGGUCAAUGCAGAUGUGGAGGUGCCCAGAGGUUCGUCACUCAAAAGUAACUGGCGGAUAAGGCGCUGAAGCUCGGCCUCCUGGGUAAUGCUAAGCCCUCCAAUAAUCCCGUAUGAUUGGGUCGGUGGCUCCGAUGCCCUCACAAAAUAAUCUGCUAGGCUCAUGGUGUACGAGCGAACGGGAUAAUCGAAAGGUGUGUGAGUCAGUCGAGCUCUCACCCGCUCCCUGUGCAGUCGUGCCAUAUAUCUGUAGUCAGCCUCAAUAGGGACGAACUCGAGUCCGAAAGGUACAUCAUGAUCAGGAAUGGUCAUGAACUCGCUAGGCCCAUGCUGACGCCGCUCCAACCCCAUGCCGGGAAGAUAGGACAUGCCCCUCAUCAUAUUAAGCACCACUGUGCUCCCAUGCUGGUCAAAGGACAUAGCCACAAAGUCUCGAUAGAAGUCCUCCAUCUCAAGGGUCUGCACCUCGUCAAAAGUGAACUCGGUCAGCAGUAAGUCGUCGUCGCUAUGGUUGAUCUGGAGCAUUGGCUCAGCAGAAAUAAACAUGUCUCUUACAGACUGUACUGUGACAAUCUGUCCCUCAUGGAUGAAUUUCACUUUUUGAUGAAGUGAAGAAGGCAUGGCUCCGACUCGGUGAAUCCAAGGUUGGCCCAAAAGUAGGUUAAAGGAUGCAAGAAUCCUCAAAACCUGAAAUACGGUGACGAACGUGGUCGGACCUAUUAGGAGCUCAAUCUCAAGUGUACCCAUAACCUCCCUCCAAGUGUUGUCAUACGCUCGAACGGUCUGAGUGGAGGGAUCGAAAUCAGAGGGUGCAUAUCCAAGAGCGAUGGCGGUGGCCAGAGGACAGACGUUUAGGGCCGAGCCAUUGUCCAGAAGGACAAAUGGAACUCGGCGACCUGAACAACCAAUAGAAAUGUAGAGAGGACGUGUGUGGUCUGAGCUCUCCGAUGGCAAGUCAUCGUCAGAAAAUAUGAUGCAAGUGGCUCUGCCAACCAUCAUCAUGUGAAUCAGUUCCUCAGGGGUGGUCGUAGUAUUGACCCUAAUCUGGCUCAAAGCUCGAGUCAAGGCAUCUAGAUGAGUACUGGAAGAUGCUAGCAAACUCCAGAUGGAAAUACGAGCCUGAGUGCUCUGCCUCAAAAUCUCAUCAUCCUCUCUCCUGACCUCCUCCUAGGAUGACGUACCCUCUAAGGGUCUAGCGGCUGCAGGGGGCUGUUGGCGUACCACCUUACCUCCGCAGAUGACAUACUGUACAUCUGAAGUGUGAACAUCAUCGACAUACGGAGUCUGGGAAACAUCAACAUAUUGAGUCUGAACCUAAACAACAUCCAGAAUCAAAAGAAACGGAGUCCGAACACUGUAAUGUGGGAAAGUCAAUGGCUCGAUAAUGGUCGUCUGUACCAAUGUCAUCUCAAGGGUCAGCCUGAAUGGUGUGGACAUCCAAGGGCCCAAAGUCACUCUACCUAUCUCAUGAAUCUCGUCUGACACUAUAGGCUCUGGCUCUGGCUCAUCCCAACUCAACAUGUGGAUGUGAUUGUCAAGCUCAGCGAAGUCGAUGGAGUGCAUGCUAUCGGUCGGAGGAGGAACCGCAUGCGCGGUGUGGGCCGGUAGUGGGUUUUGGGUUACACUCAACUGACCCAAGUGAACCAAACCCUGAUCGAUCAAAUCCUGAACAACAUGCCUCAGAGUUGUGCAUCGAUCAAUCUCAUGUCCAAGCCCCUGAUGAUAGGCACAAUGUAAAUCCAUCCUGAACUGAGGAGGAAGAGGCUGAGGUGGUGGCCUCAGGGUAAGAACAGUCAAUAAUUCGGCCUCUAUGAGCUUCCAAAGAGCCUGGCUCAAUGGCAUGCUUAUCUGGGAGAAUUGUCUUUACGUCCUCAAAGAAAAUGGAGUAGAGGUCUGCUGAGCUCUGGGCUUGUGGUAAGAAGUAACGGGUGUCGCAGUGAAUUGUGCAGCGUAGCAUGGCUGUCUGGUGGCUGUAUAAGAAAUAGGAGGCUUCUCGAUGCCCUGAGUGGUAUAAUAAGGCAGAGCUAGUGUCUGAGGUUGGUAUGUCUAAUCAUAAGUCAGGCGAGGUGCCUGUGGCCUGUACUGCUGAGGCGUGUAAGAUGAACGAGCCUCGGGAAGCUGUGGGAUCGGCUGAUGGCGCCUAGGAGGCCUCUGACUAGAAGAACCAAUGACUCCCACAUCCACUGAUCUCUGUCCUCCAAAAGGUUUCUUCCCCUUGACAUCACUAGGGGAAGAAUCUGCCCACAAACCUCUCGAGAUGCCAUCCUCGACAUCGUAUAAUGCUAAGCCCAGAGAACCAAAAUCUACAAAAGGCACCCUGACCACAUGUCUGGCGAUCCUUGGCCGUAAGCUCUUCAGAACCACCUGUAUAUGAUCUCUAUCUGAUGGUCUAUCCACUAUCUCGGCUAUCUUCUCGUGCCAGCGGGAGAUGAACUAUGAAACAGACUCUUUUGCCCUCUGUCUUAGAGCCUCAAGCUCUCUCCUCAAUACAUCUACGACAGUGUUAAAUGAAAACUGUUGUAGGAACUCUUGGGCCAAGUCGUCCCAUGUCCGGCGUCGUGAGGACUCUAAAGAUGCGAACCAUGGCUGGGACGCCCCACUAAGAGAUAGCGGGAAUAAAGUGAUCAUCUGAGGCUUGUCCAAUCCAUGAGCCCUCAUCACUGUGCUAUAGAGUCGGAGGUGAAUGCAAGGACAACCAAUACUUAUGUACCUCUCAAUAUCCGACAUCCUGAACUUAGCCGGCAAACUGGCUACCGGCAUACCCUCAAGAUCAUCCCAAACAACGGAGCCAUCAAAUACCCUCAUCUGUCUCAUGUGCUACUCAAUACGGUCCAUGCGCGCAUGAGCGUCGCCAACAAUAGUGGCCUGGAUGACUGCGGGCGGAACAACCUCAGAAUGACUGUGUAGCACAUAAGGUGAAGCUUGAGGCACCGAAGGAACAGGUGGUGGCGGUGGAGGUGGCAACGAGUCAUGCAGCGUCUCAUCCUAAACUAUGGGCGGUCUACUUUGCUGACUGCCUAUCUCCUGCCUAAGACUGGCCAAGGCCUCCUGAAUAGAAGCCAUGGUGGCCAUAAAUUGGUCAACUGUGACGACCUGCUGAUCCAUGUCUAAUAUCUCUGAAAAUCGGACUAAUCUCCCCUCUACUCUGACCCAAUGAGGUAAGUCUAGAUUGAUAAGAAAGGUCUGAUCCUGAAAGUCUCCUCAUUUGCUCUGAUCCACGAAGCUAUAUCCAGGCUGAGAACAAAGGUCUGAUCCUACAAAGCACGAAGAACGUAAUAAGGAUACGACUCAGAGAAAGCAUGGAAGAAGUGGUAAUCUGAACGGAAACAAGUAAGCAUCCAAGUGAAGACGGACUGUCCGACCGUACUCAAACUCGUCCUGAUCUCGAUACACUCUCAAUCGGAGACUAAAAAGAGGGAAAAUCGGAUCCAAAUUAUAGCUAUAGAGGCUCUGAAGGCCCUUAGAUGCACCCACGUGUAAGGAGGGAGUCCUAGUCGAAGGAUCUACGGCUCAACCUACAAGGUAGAAGUGACUUUAAGAGGAUAAGGGUGGACUUUAAAAAAUCCCUAGCAGAAGCGAUCAUACCUUCCGGCGGUAUGCAACCCUCUGUACGCCUCAAAAGAAACGGGACGCUUCCAUGCAAGGUGGUUAUCACCUCCACACAUGCACUACCUCGACAUCUUAGGGGGGUUUCCUAUGGUAGAACUUCUCAAACUCUCAACACUCAAUGGUCAACUAGAGUGCACAGUGUGCUGUGUGGGUGCAUCUGAAAACCCUAUGAAGCUAAAAUGAAAAGGGAGACACUGGCCGCACAAAUAUCCAUGAAAUCUAGCUCCGAGCUAAACAAGUCUUCAAUGAUCGGACUCCAAUCGUCAUCAAUGUGUCGCUCUCUUCCAGAAUACUCCCAAACAUCGGUAUAGCCUGUCGCUGGACCCUACUCCUAACCUUUAGCUCAGUCAGAAUACAAGCACACACAAGGCCUCACACUUGCAAAAGUGAGAACCAAAAUAAAGGAAAUGACCGAAACCAGAGGGUGGGAGGUAAGAGGAUAAAUGUGCUACCCACACAAACAAGUGACAUGCAAUCAUGCAGAGAAGGGCAGUCAUGCGACAUGUAAUCAGGCAGAGUACAGGAUAUAUCACUCAUGUGCACAUACAAGCUAUGACAAUAAAAUGAAUAGUGAUAAAAACAGUAUGCUCAAGGAUGAUCAAGAUAAUAUACAAACAAAUGGAUCAACGUGUCGAGUCAAAUAAUAUACAGUGGCAAGUGUAUGCAUGUGAGGUGAUCAGGGUAAUCAUGGCAAAAUCAGAGUAUAUAUGCUAAGCAAUACAAGAUGAUCAAUCAGUAUAAUCAACAAUGUCGAUGUCUCAAACAAUAUAGCAAUGAAUCACAAAAGGAAUAGCUAUCUCAGAAUCCUCAAUCAAGACAAAUCAGUCAUCAUAAUCAGCAUAUCAACAUCUCAAACGGAUACAAUAUACGAGCAUGCAUAAAAAACUCUCAAUGUGCAAUCAAGAGAUGGGCAUCCAUUGAUCGGCCAAUCAAAUGCCACGUUCGCUUCAUCCUAGGUUCAAGCUUGACCCUCUAAAUCUUCCCCAGUGGAGUCGCUAUUUUAUGGACCCCGCAUUUCAACUCAUGCGUUCCCUACUUGGUGGCGAAACUCACUUUUAAUUUUAUUCGGUGAAAAUUUGAUUUUUGGGGAAAAGACUUGGAGUCGCCAUUUUGUGAACCCCGCAUUUCGACUCAUGCGUUCCCCACUCGGUGGAGAAACUCACUUUUAAUUUUAUUCUGUGAAAAUUUGAUUUUUGGGGAAAAGACUUAGAGUCGCCACUUACUUUUGUUUUAUUUUUAAAAGGGAAAACAAAAUAAGAAAGAAAACCUUGAGUGUGACUCCUCAUUUUGGAAAAGAUGGUCUUGGAAAAACCGGAUCGGGCUCGGGGGUCAGAUUACUUAUCGGGAAGGUAUGGUAAAGACCGUAGCACCCUUCUAAGUCCCUAAAGUCAGGUCUCUACUAAUAGAAUGAAGCCAACAUGGCAAUCAAUAAGAAAGUCAAUGGAUACCUAAGUCAAAUCAUGCACAUAUGGGAAUCGAAACAUGCAUAGAGAAUGAUCCGAAUGAAAGUGUAUGCGUACUUGGGUCACGAGCCACAAUGCGCUGUAUCUGCUCCUCUUAGUGCGAUCUUCUCCGUGCGUUUUUCCCUAUCCCUUCACUAGCUCUCUCUGGUAUCAUUUUUCCUCUUUUUUUUUAGCUUGCUCUCUAAGCCAACGAAAACCUCACUCUGUCACCUUUCACUCAGUCGUCCUCCCUAUCCCAUCUUGUCACCCCAUGCCGCCUUCAUUUCGGGUUCGUCAAAAGAGUAAUCAUAAUAAAAUGGCCAAAUUUCUCAUCUCUCAGGAAGGGGUCUACAAUAUGCCAUAUUUAUCAUCUAAAUUAUGUACUUUUUUGAAUAGUAAUUACAUGUUACACUAGGUAGAAUCAUGUUAACAUAUUAAAUGGAUUAGAAUUGUGUUAAUUGGUUUAAUGAAUGUUAAUAGGUUUAAUAGGUUAGAAUCAAAUUAACGGGGGUUACCUAUAUCAAUUCAUAUAGAGGUCAACUUAACCUAUUUAUUAAAUUAGUUAUGUUUAUAUCAAGUCAUUUUAACAUGAUGUUUAAACAAAUCAUAUUCCAAUUGAGUAAACUUUCACUAGUUUUUAUCUUGAUACAAUACAAAUCUAACAUAAUAUGACCCAUUGUCACCCUAGUUAAGGAGCAUAAGAGUGUUGCAUCAAGGAAGUGGAAGAAAAGCAUAGUGAUAUAAAACUUUAGGGAGUGGAAGCAUUUAAUCAAGUAAAGUUGUGUAACUUUUUUUUUUUUUCAUAAGUAGUGGAUUAUUCAAUUGUCAAGAGACCAACCAUAGUUUUUUUUUUUAUACCUAGGGAUUUCUAGGUGCUUUCCACAUUAAACUCUAUGUCAAAUUGUGUAAUCGGAAAUCUCAUGCAUGAGAUUGAUAAGAUAUUGAUGAUAAUUGAGUUGGAAUAAAAUAAUUUAACUUUGAGGGGUUAAUUGCUUGGAUUACCUAUUUACCCCUCCUUCAAGAAGUUCCAUAUCAAGAAAAAAAUUAUUUCAACAUAUAUAUAGAUAUUUUAUAUUUUCUAAUUUUAAAUUAAUUUUUAUGUUGGGAAAUUGAAUGAGGGAAUAGUUGGCUCAAUUUUUCAAGCUUGGCAAAAAAAUUUGUUGUUAACAUGUUAUUUUACCUUAUUUUAUACAUUUUUUUUGGAAUAAAAAUAUAUAAUCAACUACUCUUGUAUGAUUGAUUUAGAUGUUAGAAAAGGUUACAACCAUUAAUUCUAUUAAUUGACCAACAAUUUUUUAUAAACUUUAAGUUGCUAGCAUUCAUAUAUUAUCCUAAAAUUAUUAAUUAUAAUUUUAUUUAAGUUGAACCACAAAUCUUGGGUAAAUGAUGAAGUAUUUGUUAACAAGAUACUUGUUUAAUUAUAUUGGAAGUUUUUAGUUUGAUUUGUUGUUGUUGAAUUCAAAUUCCUAGAAGCUAGCUUUGAGGACUAGAUAGUUGUCUUGGUUUUUGUUAUAAGUUUGAUUUUUAUAUUGUUUUCAAACAUGAUGUGUAAAAUGUUAAUGGUAAUGAUGUUGAAACAUAGCUAAUGCUACUAGAAGAAUGUUGUAAAGAGUGCCUUUGGUGAGUUGGAUCGGGGGGGAAAGCUCCAUGACAAGCUCCAUUUAUUACAAAGGAUUCCUUCACAAACUCUCUUUGUAUGUUAUUAAGUUGUGAGUAGAAUUAUUGAAGUUGUAUAAACAAGUGGCAAUCUUGAUACGUCAUAAUGACACCAUUCGAAAAUUAUAUAAAUCUUAGCAGGUCUAAAGGUAUUUGUAAAACACAUUUGUAUUGCCUAAUUAUGGUCUUAUUGGAGAAUGAGUUAUUAUCAAUUUCAUGGAACAAAACUUUCAUUAGUCAAUAUUAUUUGAAGGUGAAAUCUUACUCAUAAAAUUUUUCAAUUAAAUUUAAAAGUUAAAAUUAUAAAGUAGAGAGUUAAAAUAACCAUUGAGCAUAGUUUAAAAUUUGAAUAUAAUGUGUUUAUUAUUGUAAUUCAAGCCCAAUAUUUAUUAUUUAUUAUUAAAAAUAUAAUUUAUAUUUAAGAUAAUUUAGCACAUUUGAACAAUGCUUUGAGAAUAAGAUUGGAGCAUCUAAUUUGACUAAUUGGAUAGCAAAUCAAACUAAUCCAAUCUUAUUUUUCAUAUUUUUCCACCUUCAAUUUUAAGAUAAAUAUGAACAAAAGUCUUUAUAUGAUUAUAACAAUAUAAACAAUAUAAACACUAAAAUAAUUAGUUUAACAUUAAAUAACAAAAAUCUUAUUUUAGUCUUCGACAUAUUGCUAUAUAAGUUAAAUAUAUAUGUUAGUAAAAUAAGAAAUAUUAAUAUAUUUAAAAUAUUAAAUAAUAAAAUCACAUUUUUUUGUUAUUAUUAAUAUUUAAUUAAUACAUUCUAAUUAAAUCUAAAAUAAAAACUUUACACAAAUUAGUAUAAAACCAAAUAUGAUCACCAUAAACCAACCUCAAUUAAAAAUACUUAAAUAUAUAAAAGUCAAAGUAAAUAAAUGAGAAAUAAUGCUAAAAGAUAUAUAUAUAUAUAUAUAUAUAUAUAUAUAUAUAUAUAUAUAUAUAUAUAUAUAUAUAUAUAUAUUAUUUUUAACUCCAUAUAUUAUUUUAAAUUUUAAUAAUAUAUGAAUUAUAUAUGCAUAUUGCCUUGCUGAUAUCAUGUUUCAAUUACUUGAACCAUCAGUUCAAUUAAGAAAGUUUAAUGCAAUAAUUUUUCGAUUCAAUAAUUAAUUAAUAAGAUUUUCAAAAUAUUGUAUUUGAAAACUCAUCACAAAAAAUGAAUAAAAAAGAUCAUGAAAUUCUUGCAAAGAAAACUUACUUCAUGAAAAUAUGGAAACCCCAAACCUUAAUUUCUUCAAUAAUAUGAAUCAAAAUUCUUAUAUUUAGGCAUCUUAGGAGAGAACCAAUAAUCUCAUCCACAAAUCAAGCAUAGUCAAUAGGCAAUUCUUAUGUUUAGGAGUAAUAUAUACAUACAUACAUAUAUAUACUGUGUAUAGAUGAUGUAUCUUUUGGAAAGUCAUGUAUAUAUUUAAAUGUUGUAAUGUAUAUCUUGCAUAAUAUAGUUUGACCAUUCAUCUAUUCAUUCAUUCAUCUUAUACUCUUGGAAAGAAAAGUAACUUCAUGAAAAUAUGGAAAUCUCAAACCUUAAUUUCUUCAAUGAUGCUUAUUAAAAUUUUUGCAAUAAAAAGUUGUGUAAUUGAGGACACUAAUGAUGCAAGGUUACAACUAGUCACUCCUAACCAGACUUAUUCUUAUACAUAUUUCCAUCUUCAUCUCAAGUCUGGGAGUCUACCUUUCCAUUUUAAGAAAAUUAAUUAUUCUUUUUAUUUUACAUGUAUUGAAAAAAGUAAAAGAAAAAAUAAGAUUGAGCAAUAUGAACCAAUCAAUCUUGACAUAUAUGUGAGAAGAUAAUUUAAAAGUGUAUUUGAUAGUGUUUAAUUUUGAAGUGUUUUUAAUUUUAAUAAAAGUAUUUUCUUUAGAAGUGAUUUUGAGAUAAUUACCUAUUAAAAGUGCAUUUGAUAAUGAUUUUAAAAUAGUGUUUUUAGUUUUUUAAUACUUGAAAAAUAAAAAUUUUCAAAUAUUAAAAAGAAUAAAAAUAUUUCCUAAAAUUAUUGUUAGACGCACUUUAAAACCCCGUUUAGCAGUGAUUUUAGGAAGUGUUUCUAAACUUUUUAGUACUUUAAAAUUUGUAUUAUUUAAGUGUUAGAAAUACUAGAAACGUUUUCUAAAAUCACCAUAAAAUGUAUUCUAAGAGUGUGUGUGAUAGUGAUCCUUGGAAAUGUUUUUAACAUUUUUAAUACUUAAAUGAUAAUAAUUUUCAAAUGUUAAAAGGUUAUAAACACUUCUUAAAAUUACUAUAAAACGGGUUCUAAGUGUUUCUUCAAAAAACACCACAAAUGAUUUUUUUAUCUGUUUAAAAGUGUUUUCUAAAUUUUAUUAAAUACUUAUUUUUCUCCAAAAAUAUUUUUUAAGGUAGAAGUGCUUUUUUAAAAAUAAUAUCAAAUGGACGUGUAAGUCUUAAAAUAAAAUCCCUUGAUUUAAUUAUACUUUUCAAAUCCAUCCUAUAAGCCUAAGCAUUCUUGAAAUACCCACCCCUGUUAUAAUACAAAAGCAAACCACCACUAAGGAUAUUUAAACAACAUUUUAAAGACAAUCGGAACCUAUCAAUGAGACUUUGUCUCAUAAUACAAAUUUCGUUAUGUUCACAUGUAGAAAGGGACAAAUAAUACAUAAAAACUAAAAAUCAUAUACAAUAGAAAGCUUGGAAUCAAGAGGGAAGAGAGCAAAGUUACGAAGUGGUGGAGCCUUGGUAAAAUAAAAUUAACAACGGCAUUUUCAUGUGCGUGUCUCAUCGCUGGAUGGACCGAAUUUUGCUUCUCCCAAAACUCUUUAAAUAUUGGGAGAAUUGUGUUUUGGCCCAAUUGUCCCAAAAAUUAAUAUUUGGUCCUCCAAUCAUCCAUAAUUGAUAAUAAGGAUAUGAGAUAGUAAUUGACAAAAAUACCCGCUUGACUCAUUUUUGUCUUUAUUCUACUACUUGUCACUAUUCUUUCUUAUUUAACUAUUUUUGGAUUUUCAUUUUUUUAAAACUCUUUUAUAAAUAAUUGAAAAUUUAAUAUUAUUUUUAUUUUUAAAUUAUAAAUAAAAAAAAAUUAUAUUAAUGAUUCAAAGACUAUUUAGGAAAAUACUUUCUAAAAAAAUAUUAAUUUAAAUAAAUAAAAAUUAUCUUUUACAUUUAUUUUUAUAGUUUACAUUUUAGAAGUAAAUAAUUUAAUGAUUAAAAUACCAUUUAAAAUAAAUAUAUUUACUAUUUUAAUUUUUUUUAUACUAAAAAGUAUUUUAAAGUUUUUUUUUUUUACUAUUAUAAAAUAAAAAGUUCAUUUUUUUUUUAAUCUUCUUUCUUCCUUAUUUUAAUAACUUUUUGAACAUGACUUUUAGUAAUAAGUUAUAUGGAAUGCUACAAAUUUGUUUAUUAAGGAUUUUUUUUUAAUGAUUUGAAUUAAUUGAAAAUUUAUUAAAAUAAGAAAAAGAAAAAUAAAGAAAGAGGAUUGAUGGAGAGUUUUUAUUUUAAGUACUCGAUUAAAAGAGGAUGGACGUAGAGUUUUUAUUUUAAGUAUUCAAUUAAAAUGUUUUCAUAUGACCUACUUUUAGAAGUGGAUUAUAUCAAUACAUAGUAGAGAUUGAAUUUUUUUUUUUAUAUAUAAAAGGGUUGAAAGGUAUAUUUACUUGUUUUAGAUGAAAACAAGUAACUAAAAAUUAUAUAGAUCAUAUUUGAGUUUGGUUUUAAAAUAUUUUUCUAGUUUUUAUUUUAAUUUAUUUUUAUUUUCUAUAUUGUCUCUUUUUGAAAAUAUGUUAAUUAAAAAAUGAAAACUAUUUUUAAAAAUGAAAAUUGAAAACCUUGUUUGGUAAUUUUUUUUUAUAUAAAAAAAAUUAUUUAUUAAUUUAUUGUGUCAUUGUACAAUUGUAUUACAAUAACUGUACUAAAGACGUACAAGACUACCAUUUAUGAAAUAUUAUAAUAGAUUAUGAGUCAUUCCUUUGUUUUUCUACAUGGACACAUAACUUAAGAGGGAUAUGAAAUUUGUGUCAUUGUACAAGGGUAUUACACUAACUGUACAAAGGAAAUGUACUAAUUGUACAAAGGUGUACAAAAUCAUCUUUUGUGAAUUAUUUUAAUAAAUUCUAAACCACUUUUUUUUUCCUUGUCACCCAAGGAUUGUAUGCCUAUGUCAUGCAUUUUAUUUAACUCUCAUAUGAGAAUUCUAAUAUUUUCCCUAAUAAUGAUAUUUGGGGAAAAAAUUGACCCUAAGUCCUCUACCAUUUUCUUAACCAAACAAUUGAAAAUAUGAUUAAUACACCUACAUAAACAUAUAAGUUAUGACAAAUAUGAAAUUUGUGUCAUUGUACAAGGAUAUUACACUAAUUGUACAAGGGAAAUGUGCUAAGUGUACAAGGCUCCUAAUAGGUUUUGUACGAUUGUUAAACAACUUGAAUUUGAUAUUAAGACGAUUAUUGAUAGUUUUUUUUUUCUUUUUUUUAUCAAACUAUUUCAUUUAGACAUUCCCUACAAAAAUUAACACAUAGGAAAUAAAAUUAAAAUCAAUCAUGUUUGAAUUGUUCAUUAUAAGUAAACUAAAUGAAAUAUACAUUUUUACUAUUUUUCCUUUAUAAACAUAAUUUCUUUGUUAUCAAUAGAGAUUAAAAAAAAUCAUAUUUAAAUGGAAUUAAAAAUAAACAAAAAUUAUUUUUAUAACAUUUUUAUUUUUUAAAAUCAUUAAUUUAAAUUAUGAAAUUAGUUUUAAAAUUAAAAAUACUUGUUGUAAUUAUAGUUUUGAAGAUUUCAUGAUUUUUAUCUUAUUACUUUGAAAAAAUUGUUUUAAUAAGAAAGUAUUUAUUUUAAUUAUUUUAAAUAUUUAAAUCUUUAUUAAAAAAUAUUUAGAAUUGGUGUGGAGAGCAAUUAGAUAAUUUUGGAAAGGAGAAAUUUUGAAUAUUUUGAAGAAUUUAAUUCGGCAAAUUACCAUAUUUACACUUUUUAAAAUAUUUUGGAAUGGAGAAAUUUUGAAUAUUUUGAGAGCAUAGUUCAAAGAAUUGAAAGAUUUUAAUCAAUUUUAGACAAUAGUUUUUUUUUUUGUCUUGUCAUCUAAGGAUUGCACACUCUUAAGGUACACAUUCCUCUAUUACACACUCAUCUUAUGCACUUUAUUUAACUCGCACAUGAUAAUUCAAAUACUUAUCCCACUAAUGAUGUUUGAAAGAAAAUUUUGUUUUUCCAUUUUCCACUAUUUUUUGAAACAAACCAAUGAAAACAUGGUUAACCUACCUAUGGUUAUACAUUGAGUAGCAGGUAUAUGGAAUUUGAGUCACUGUACAAGGUAUUUACACUAAGUGUACAUGAAAAAUUUACUAACUGUACAAGAGUGUACAAGAUUAUUAUUUGUGAAGGAUUUUAAGUGAUUCUGAAAAAUUUGUUUGUUUAUUUCCCCUAACCGAGGAUAAAUGACAUUCAUUACACACAUUAAUUAAGCAUACAUUCAUCUCAUGCGCUUUAUCUAAUUUGUAUAUGGUUAUUUGAAUAGGUACCUCACUUAUGAUGAUUGUAAAACAAAAUUCUACAACAAUUUUUCUUCUUUUUUAAAACCAAACCAAUGCAAACAUGGUUAACUGACCUAUUGUCAGAUAUUCAUGAGAUAAUCUAUGAAAUUUAAGUUAUUGUACAAGGGUAUUACACUAACUGUACAAGACAAAUUUACUAAUUGUACAAGGGUGUACAAGAUUACUUUUUGUUAAGGAUUUCAAGUGAUUUUGAAAAACUUUCAUAUUUUUUUCCACUCAAAGAUUUUUUUCCCCACUCAAAUUCUCUCACUCAAGAAUUGUUUCGAAUUUUAUUUUUAAAUUUCAUCAUCAAAAUUUUGUAAUUGCAUAUUUUGUUUUUGUAGUUUUAGCAAUGUUCUUUCUUUUCACUUUUUUUUUUUUUUUUUUUUUUUUUGUGAAAUUUUAUCGAAAUGAAUCUAGAUUUAAAAUUAUAAUCAUAUUUAUCAAUUUUUUUUACUAAGAUUAUCUUUAAUUCUUUUAAUAUAUUUAUACUCAUUUAUUUAAAAAAGGAAAAACUAAUUUUUUUUUUUUUUUUUUGUAAACAUAUUCUAUUACCUUUCAAGUAAAAAAUUAGAUAAGUUUGAAAGUCAACAAAAAAAAAUUAAAUACCACUUUCAAUAAUUUUUAGAUAAAAUUUUAUAUAAUAUAUUUUAUUUGAAAUUUAAUUUUUAAAGUUUAACUAAAAAAUUAUAUUGACAAUUUUCUAGUUAUGAGUCAAAAUACUUUGCAUUAGUAUAUCUAUAUAAGAAAAAUUAUUAAUAUAAUAUUAUAACCUCAUAUCUUAGUUAUUUUUUUUCAAUAAAUUUAUCUUUUUAAAAAUUUUAAAAUAAAAACAUUAAAAAUUAAAAAGCUAAAAAGAUAUAUAUAUAUAUAUAUAUAUAUAUAUAUAUAUAUAUAUAUAUAUAUAUAUAUAUAUAUAAUAAAGUGAAGUGAUAGUUAAUUUUAAUUUUUUUUUAAAUAUGGUUAAUGUAGAAAAUAUAAAAAUAAUUAAAAAUAAGAGAAAAAUAUAAAUGAAAGGGUAAUAUAAUUUUAAAAUAAAUAAUAAUAAUUAAACUAAAAGAUAAAUAUAAAAAGAUAAAAAAUAUUUGGAUGAAAAAUCCCAAAAUUUUUAUCAUUGCUUUUAAUAAGAGCAAAAAGAUUGAAUAUCUUUAAAAAUGAAAAAUAAAAAAAUAUUAUUACUUUUUAUUUGACAUAAAAUAGAAAUAUAUAUUGGAAUAAAAAGAAAAAAAAAGUUAGAAAUGAGUAAUACUUAAUAGGGAAUAGAAAAGGAAAAAAAACAUAAAAAAAAUUGAAAUUCACACUCACUUGUAGACAUAUAAGGGAUAAGGGUAUUUUAGGAAUUAAUGAAAGACAAUAUCCUUCAUCUUAAUUUUCAUACUUUGUUUGAGUCUUGGGUUUAAAUAUGCAUGAUAUAUGGACUAAAUGUUAAUUUUUGAUCCCAGCUGGCCCAAAAUACAAUUCUCCCUUAAAUAUUAUAAUUAGAGCCCACUUGAUGCUUAGAAAAAUACAUUUGCAAGUGAUCUCCAUCUGUCAAUCAAUUAAUCUAUACAAUAUUAAAAAUUCACUUCUUGUUGAUUUAGCAAAAUCACUUUGUUGGGGGUGGCCUGUCUCCGAUGUUACUCAAGUUUCAACUCUGGACUUUUCAAAUUAACAAAGUGCAGUGAUUCAUCUUUCUUCUUUGUUCCAUUUUUGGCUGAAUUGUAAUCCUUUUGUCUGUAACUUACGGAAAGCUAUGGAGUUUCUGAGCUCGAUCGUGGGUCUGGUCCCCUGCUUCUAUGAUCACACCUCCAAGCAUACGGUCUACAUUCGUGAUCUGAGAAAAAAUCUCCAAGCCUUGAGGAAAGAAAUGGUGGAUCUGAACAACUUGUACGAAGAUAUGAAGGCAAGGGUUGAACGUGCAGAGCAACAAGAGAUGAAGCGCAGAAAGGAAGUGGGUGGGCGGAUCUGUGAAGUAGAAGACAUGGAGAAAGAAGUUCACGAAAUUCUGCAAAGAGGAGAUCAAGAAAUCCAGAAGAGUUGUCUAGGAUGCUGUCCCAGGAAUUGUUGGUCUAGCUACAGGAUUGGAAAGGCGGUAAGUGAAAAGCUGGUUGCUGUAUCUGGUCAAAUCGGCAAAGGACAUUUCGAUGUUGUAGCCGAGAUGUUGCCUCGUCCUCCAGUUGAUGAACUGCCCAUGGAGGCGACUGUGGGCCCACAAUUGGCAUAUGAAAAGAGCUGUAGGUUUCUCAAAGAUCCACAAGUGGGAAUUAUGGGAUUGUAUGGAAUGGGGGGUGUUGGCAAAACCACCCUCUUGAAGAAAAUCAACAAUGAAUUCCUCACAACAUCCAAUGACUUUGAGGUCGUGAUUUGGGCUGUGGUGUCAAAAUCGCCCGACAUUGAAAAAAUUCAGCAAGUUAUUUGGAAUAAAUUGGAAAUCCCACGUGAUAAAUGGGAAACUAGAAGCAGUAGGGAGGAGAAGGCUGCAGAAAUAUUGAGAGUUUUGAAAAGAAAAAGGUUCAUCUUGUUGUUGGAUGACAUUUGGGAGGGACUUGAUCUCCUAGAAAUGGGGGUCCCGCGUCCAGAUACUGAAAAUAAGUCCAAGAUAGUUUUGACGACCCGAUCACAGGAUGUCUGCCACCAAAUGAAAGCUCAGAAGAGUAUAGAAGUGGAAUGUUUGGAGUCAGAAGAUGCCUGGACUUUGUUCCGGAAGGAGGUAGGAGAAGAAAUAUUAAAUUCUCAUCCGGAUAUACCGAUGCUUGCAAAGGUUGUUGCUGAAGAGUGCAGAGGUUUACCUCUCGCUCUUGUCACUCUUGGGCGGGCCAUGGCAGCUGAGAAAGAUCCCUCAAACUGGGACAAGGUAAUACAAGAUCUACGCAAAUCUCCAGCUGAAAUCACAGGUAUGGAAGAUAAAUUGUUUCAUCGAUUGAAACUCAGUUAUGAUAGGUUGCCUGACAAUGCCAGCAAAUCUUGUUUUAUAUAUCAUUCCAUCUUCCGAGAGGACUGGGAGAUUUAUAAUUAUCAACUUAUAGAACUUUGGAUAGGGGAGGGGUUCUUGGGUGAAGUUCACGACAUACAUGAAGCACGGGAUCAAGGGAAGAAAAUUAUUAAUACUUUAAAGCAUGCAUGUUUAUUGGAGAGCUGUGGUUCGAAAGAAUAUAGGGUUAAGAUACAUGAUGUGAUCCGUGACAUGGCUUUAUGGUUAUAUGGUGAACAUGGGGUGAAAAAGAACAAAAUUCUAGUAUACAAUAAAGUUGCUAGGCUUGAUGAAGAUCAAGAAACUUCCAAAUUGAGAGAAACAGAGAAGAUAUCAUUAUGGGAUAUGGAUGUUGGGAAGUUCCCAGAAACAUUGGUGUGCCCCAAUCUUAAGACUUUAUUUGUGAAAAAAUGUCAUAAUUUGAAGAAAUUUCCAAAUGGAUUCUUUCAAUUCAUGCUUCUACUUAGAGUUCUGGAUUUGUCAGACAAUGAUAAUUUAAGCGAGUUGCCAACUGGGAUUGGUAAAUUGGGUGCCUUGAGGUAUCUUAAUUUGUCAUACACAAGAAUAAGGGAGUUGCCCAUUGAACUAAAGAAUUUGAAAAAUCUGAUGAUUUUGAUUAUGGAUGGUAUGAAAUCCCUUGAAAUUAUUCCACAAGAUAUGAUAUCAAGCCUUAUAUCCUUGAAGUUGUUCUCCAUUUAUGAAUCCAAUAUUACAAGUGGAGUUGAAGAAACUGUACUGGAGGAGUUGGAGUCCUUGAAUGACAUCAGUGAGAUAUCAAUCAUCAUAUGCAAUGCUCUUUCAUUCAACAAACUAAAGAGUAGUCAUAAAUUACAAAGGUGCAUAUGUCAUCUAUAUUUACAUAAAUGGGGGGAUGUGAUCUCACUUGAACUGCCUUCUUCAUUUUUUAAAAGAACGGAGCAUUUGCAGCAGCUUAAUAUAAGCCAUUGCAAUAAAUUGAAAGAAGUGAAAAUUAAUGUGGAAAGAGAAGGGAUACACAAUGGUAUGACUCUUCCAAACAAAAUUGCAGCAAGGGAGGAAUACUUCCACACCCUUCAUCGUGUGGUUAUAAUUCAUUGUUCAAAAUUGUUAGACUUAACAUGGCUUGUUUAUGCUCCAUAUCUUGAAGGACUUUACGUUGAAGAUUGUGAAUCAAUAGAAGAAGUGAUACGUGAUGAUAGUGAAGUCUGUGAAAUUAAGGAAAAAUUGGACAUAUUCUCAAGGCUCAAACACCUCGAGCUCAAUAGGCUGCCAAGAUUGAAGAGCAUCUACCAGCAUCCACUACUCUUUCCCUCUCUUGAAAUCAUCAAGGUGUGUGAAUGCAAAGGUUUGAGGAGCCUCCCAUUUGAUUCCAACACUUCAAAUAAUAGUCUAAAGAAAAUUAAAGGAGAGACAAGUUGGUGGAAUCAGUUGAAGUGGAAAGAUGAAACUAUCAAGCACUCUUUUACUCCAUAUUUCCAAAUCCGUGAAGCUGAAGCAUAUUCAACAGACACUGGCAGCAUAGAUGAUAUGCAGGAACAACCAGUAUCAAAUUAACUUCUAUCAAUCUUUCAGGUAUUAAUUAACUUUUAUACUAUAUUUGGAAAACCCUUUUCUUUCCUUAAUCCCAUUCUUUUGUGGAAUUUUUUACUCUAUCUAUGCCAAAGUGCAUCAAAGUCUCAACAUCAAAAUAACUUUCAAUGUUUGAUCUAUCAAGUUUGCCCCUUUUGAAGUAACUGUUAUAAAGUUUGCCCAGAAGGGACUUUGAAGGAGGUCUUUUAUUUAAACAUCUAAUGACAUUUCCUUUUGGUUACUUGAGAACUUGAAA